AUUCCAUGGUGCGGACAUCUCCUUUGCAAAUCCUUGUAUCUCUCCCAUACUUUAGACAAGCUCUCAUCGUCUUUAGGUCUGAAGGAAGUUUGCUCAUUUCUUAGCUU
Hevea brasiliensis (rubber tree) is the source of this 107-nucleotide small nucleolar RNA. Lineage: Eukaryota; Viridiplantae; Streptophyta; Magnoliopsida; Malpighiales; Euphorbiaceae. The record is from RefSeq and is a predicted model, not a curated record.